Molecule: ribosomal RNA, 433 nt
Filed under: uncultured bacterium
Lineage: Bacteria
Description: partial 16S ribosomal RNA
Rfam family: Bacterial small subunit ribosomal RNA
Source: RNAcentral
AGCGAACGCUGGCGGCAGGCUUAACACAUGCAAGUCGAGCGGGCCCUUCGGGGUCAGCGGCAGACGGGUGAGUAACACGUGGGAACGUACCCUUUGGUUCGGAAUAACGCUGGGAAACUAGCGCUAAUACCGGAUACGCCCUUUUGGGGAAAGGCUUGCUGCCGAAGGAUCGGCCCGCGUCUGAUUAGCUAGUUGGUGGGGUAAUGGCCUACCAAGGCGACGAUCAGUAGCUGGUCUGAGAGGAUGAUCAGCCACACUGGGACUGAGACACGGCCCAGACUCCUACGGGAGGCAGCAGUGGGGAAUAUUGGACAAUGGGCGCAAGCCUGAUCCAGCCAUGCCGCGUGAGUGAUGAAGGCCUUAGGGUUGUAAAGCUCUUUUGCCCGGGACGAUAAUGACGGUACCGGAAGAAUAAGCCCCGGCUAACUUCGUG